UACAGAGACUGCAAGCGUUGUUCGGAUUCACUGGGCGUAAAGGGUGCGUAGGUGGUGGGGUAAGUCUCGUGUGAAAGCUCGCAGCUUAACUGCGAAAAGUCACGGGAUACUAUUCUGCUGGAGGCUUGGAGGGGGGACUGGAAUACUUGGUGUAGCAGUGAAAUGCGUAGAUAUCAAGUGGAACACCAGUGGCGAAGGCGGCUCACUGGUCCGGUACUGACGCUGAGGUGCGAAAGCGUGGGGAGCAAACAGG
RNAcentral lists this ribosomal RNA (253 nucleotides) under uncultured prokaryote. Its description in RNAcentral is "partial 16S ribosomal RNA". It matches the Rfam family "Bacterial small subunit ribosomal RNA", at positions 524 to 776 of the family's 1533-position model. The record is from RNAcentral.